RNAcentral lists this ribosomal RNA (1362 nucleotides) under uncultured bacterium. RNAcentral's name for it is "bacterial SSU rRNA". It matches the Rfam family "Bacterial small subunit ribosomal RNA", at positions 29 to 1393 of the family's 1533-position model. The record is from RNAcentral.
AUGAACGUUGGCGGCGUGCCUGAGAUAUACAAGUCGAGCGGUCCGACGUUACGUCGGACAGCGGCGGACGGCUGAGUAACACGUAGGAACCUACCCCGUUGUGGACCAUAGCUCGCCGAAAGGCGGGGUAAUAGUCCAUAGUAUCCGACUUUUUAGUUGGAUUAAAGGGCGUAACUGCUCGCAACGGGAUGGGCCUGCGGCUUAUCAGGUAGUUGGUAGGGUAACGGCCUACCAAGCCAAUGACGAGUAGCUGGCCUUGAAUGGGUGGUCAGCCAGAGGGGCACUGAGACACGGGCCCCACUCCUACGGGAGGCAGCAAUCAGGAAUCGUCGGCAAUGGGCGAAAGCCUGACCGCGCGACGCCGCGUGCGGGAAGAAGCUUUUUGAAGUGUAAACCGCUGUGGCAGGGGAGGAAGUCCCGACUUAAGUCGGGAUUGACAGUACCCUGCUAGAAAGGGGCCGCUAACUGCGUGCCAGAAGCGUCGGUAAUACGUGGGCCCCAAACGUUAUCCGGUUUUAAUGGGUGUAAAAGGUCACGUAGGCGUUCUGUUAAGUUUCACCUUAAAGCCUACAACUCAAUUGUAGGAUUGGGUGAAAAACUGACAGAAUUGAGUAGUCUUUAGGGGGACUGGAACUUAGGGAGGAGCAGUGAAAUGCGUUGAUACCCUAGGGAACACCGGUGGCGAAAGGCGAGUCCCUGGAAGACUACUGACGCUGAGGUACGAAAGCUAGGGGAGCGAAGCAGAUUAGAGACCUGCGUAGUCCUAGCCGUAAACGCAUGCCUGCUAGCUGCAUUUCUCAACUUUUAGUUGAGGGGUGUGGCGAAGGUAACCCGUUAAGCAGGCUACCUGGGGAGUACGACCGCAAGGUUAAAACUCAAAGGAAUUGGCGGGGAGGCACACAACCAGUGGAACAUGUGGUUCAAUUCGAAACGAACCGAAGAACCUCACCAGGGCUUGACAUCUCGGCGUUCUACCCUAAAGAAAUUUAGGGGAUCCGCAAGGAGGCCGGGACAGGUGCUGCAUGGCUGUCGUCAGCUCGUUCCGUGAGGAGUGCCCUUAAGUGGGACAACGAGCGCAACCCCUGCUCUGUGUUAAAUCUGUCACAGAGGACUGCCCCGACGUCACGUCGGGGAGGAAGGAAGGGCAGACGUCAAGUCAGCAUGGUCCUUAUGCCCUGGGCUACACACAUGUUACAAUGGGAAGGACAAUGGGCUUUGCCACACCGUAAGGUGGAGCUAAUCCCUAAACCUUCCCUCAGUUGGGAUUGAGGUCUGCAACUCGACCUCAUGAACGCGGAAUUGGUAGUAAUCGCGGAUCAGCCAUGCCGCGGUGAAUACGUUCUUGCCUCUUGCACACACCGC